Ictalurus punctatus (channel catfish) is the source of this 1466-nucleotide long non-coding RNA. Lineage: Eukaryota; Metazoa; Chordata; Actinopteri; Siluriformes; Ictaluridae. The record is from Ensembl.
CUUUUGUAUAUGGACACGCGCCCUGGUUUGUUUUGGUUUUCCCCUUGUUUCAGCAUUGGUUCAUGUUCGAGGAUGUGUCUUGAUUUACUCCAGGUGUCUAUGAUUUAGUAUUGAUUGUGUUAGUCAUUUAAACCCCUCGUGUUGCUGUGCACAUCGUGCAGUAUUAACGGUAGCUGAGUGUUUGCCUGUGGACUUAAAUGGCAUUCGCUGUAUAGGGAAUGAGUGAGCGAUUUCAGAUACAGUGAAUGUCACUAAAAAACCCGGAAGCACAUACUGGUGCUGCAAGCUUUGCUUCGGGUUUCAGAGGGGAAAUCGUGACUCUAGGGCUAGAUAAAAUGAUAUUACUUUUGCCUUACUGGUAUGCUUUUUAAAAAAAUUUAAGUAAUUAUCAUUGGUGCUUCUAUAACACUUAGUGACUGACUCAAUUACUCCUCAUAGUUAUUUGGAUGUUAAAAUCCCAUUCUUAUUUUUUACAGUGACAGCAAUGUUUUCCUAAAUAUUCCAAUGAUAAAAUCUACAUUUGUCAGGGUGAAAGUCUGAAUUUCCUCUUCCCAUAUGUGAAAAUGGCUUCUAAUCCAGCAAAUACUUAUGAAAACAGAAAAAGUAAGUUAAACAUUGUUUAGUCAUUGUUAGGUCAUUGGCAAUGUUUAUGAAUCAUAUGACAAAUGUAUGGUAUUUUCAUAUAAUAUAACCAAAUAUGUAAAAUAUUUGUAAAAUGUUCCAUCAUAUCCAUUGAAAUAGCUUGAACUUUUUAGUCAUUUAACAAUUUUUCUUCUAUAUGGCCUGAAUACCACAGAUACACAUUUUUAACCUUUUGUACCAAACUCUGAGAUCAAGGAAGAGAGAUUAAAUCAGUUUGAUUGAACUCAACUAUUCAAUCAACUUUUUCAUUAAGUGACAGCAACAACAUAUUAUUUUUUUUCUAAAAUCACAGAUGGCAUCUUUAAAAACUCUAACUGUAACUGCAAUAAGCUUUUCACAAAUACUACUCCAGAUUGCAAUAUGGUUUAAAACUUAAGCAAAUGAAAGCAAGCAUUAUUUUAGAUUUAUUAUCUACAUUGUCAAACUUGAAUAAUCUAAACUGACUCAUCAUUUAGAAACCAAGCUAAAAUUGGGAAUGAAAUAGCUUACCAAUGUUUGUAGAGUAGUAAAAAGGAAGAGCUAGAAGAAGGCAAAAUGGCGUCCCUGAAAACAUGUUUAACACAAAGUUUUAAACUGUUCACCCUUGCGUGUGAUAGAUGUGAGUGUGUCUAGGUCUAUAUGGAAAAUGUUGCUUCAGAGUACAGGAAGCACAGGCCACAGCUUUUGAUUACAUCAUUUGGUGACAUCUGUUAAAAGUGACCGAAGCAAAAGCAAUCUUUAUAAUGUAGCUUAUAAAGUAUCAUUUUCUACCUGAUUCAUUCAUUCCAGAAAUCCCAUUGCCACCCAACAUGAAUGUGUACAUACAUACAGUUCCCUCCACUAAU